AUAUCAAUAAGCGGAGGAAAAGAAACCAACAGGGAUUGCCCUAGUAACGGCGAGUGAAGCGGCAACAGCUCAAAUUUGAAAUCUGGCCCUUGGGUCCGAAUUGUAAUUUGUAGAGGAUGCUUUUGGUGCGGUGCCUUCCGAGUUCCCUGGAACGGGACGCCAUAGAGGGUGAGAGCCCCGUCUGGUUGGACACCAAUCCUCUGUAAAGCUCCUUCGACGAGUCGAGUAGUUUGGGAAUGCUGCUCUAAAUGGGAGGUAUAUGUCUUCUAAAGCUAAAUACCGGCCAGAGACCGAUAGCGCACAAGUAGAGUGAUCGAAAGAUGAAAAGCACUUUGAAAAGAGGGUUAAAUAGUACGUGAAAUUGUUGAAAGGGAAGCGCUUGUGACCAGACUUGAGCCCGGUUAAUCAUCCAGCCUUCUGGCUGGUGCACUUGGCCGGCUCAGGCCAGCAUCAGUUCGGCGCGGGGGAUAAAGACUUCGGGAAUGUGGCUCCUCCGGGAGUGUUAUAGCCCGUUGUGUAAUACCCUGUACUGGACUGAGGUUCGCGCAUCUGCAAGGAUGCUGGCGUAAUGGUCAUCAGCGACCCGUCUUGAAACACGGACCAAGGAGUCGUCUUCGUAUGCGAGUGUUCGGGUGUCAAACCCCUACGCGUAAUGAAAGUGAACGCAGGUGAGAGCUUCGGCGCAUCAUCGACCGAUCCUGAUGUUCUCGGAUGGAUUUGAGUAAGAGCAUACGGAGCCGGACCCGAAAGAAGGUGAACUAUGCCUGUAUAGGGUGAAGCCAGAGGAAACUCUGGUGGAGGCUCGCAGCGGUUCUGACGUGCAAAUCGAUCGUCAAAUAUGGGCAUGGGGGCGAAAGACUAAUCGAACCUUCUAGUAGCUGGUUUCCGC
This 889-nucleotide ribosomal RNA is filed under the name Pseudocosmospora rogersonii. Its description in RNAcentral is "partial large subunit ribosomal RNA". It matches the Rfam family "Eukaryotic large subunit ribosomal RNA", at positions 40 to 961 of the family's 3401-position model. Lineage: Eukaryota; Fungi; Ascomycota; Sordariomycetes; Hypocreales; Nectriaceae. The record is from RNAcentral.